GGUAUAGCCAAGUGGUAAGGCAGUAGACUUUGACUCUAUUAUGCCCUGGUUCGAAUCCAGGUA
RNAcentral lists this transfer RNA (63 nucleotides) under human gut metagenome. It matches the Rfam family "tRNA", at positions 6 to 65 of the family's 71-position model. From Rfam's summary of the family: Transfer RNA (tRNA) molecules are approximately 80 nucleotides in length. Their secondary structure includes four short double-helical elements and three loops (D, anti-codon, and T loops). The record is from RNAcentral.